GAUGAACGCUGGCGGCGUGCCUAAUACAUGCAAGUCGAACGAAAAGGCGCGGAGCUUGCUGGGCUGACGAGAGCGGCACAGGGGAGUAUAACGCGUGUAUACCCUCCCUAUAUUUCGGGGAUAAUUUCGGAAAACGGGAGCAAAUACGGUAUGAGAUACUGCUGCGCAGGGGGGGAUGGUGAAAGUCGGCGGUUGGGGAUGGUAUAGCGGGUUAUGAGCCUCAUGGGGGGGUAGUGGAUGAACAAGUUUUUGAAGGGUAGGCGGCCUGAGAGGGUUAACGGCGUCAUUGGGACUGAGAGACGGCCCAGACUCCUACGGGAGGCAGCAGUGGAGAAUAUUGCACAGUGGGCGGAAGCCUGAUGCAGCAACGCCGCGUGCGGGAUGACGGCCUUCGGGUUGUAAACCGCUUUCUCCUGUGACGAAGCGUGAUUGACGGUAAUGGGUAAAGAAGCACCGGCUAACUACGUG
Molecule: ribosomal RNA, 468 nt
Filed under: uncultured bacterium
Lineage: Bacteria
Description: partial 16S ribosomal RNA
Rfam family: Bacterial small subunit ribosomal RNA
Source: RNAcentral